RNAcentral lists this ribosomal RNA (440 nucleotides) under uncultured bacterium. RNAcentral describes it as "partial 16S ribosomal RNA". It matches the Rfam family "Bacterial small subunit ribosomal RNA", at positions 338 to 795 of the family's 1533-position model. The record is from RNAcentral.
CCUACGGGUGGCAGCAGUAGGGAAUAUUGCUCAAUGGGGGAAACCCUGAAGCAGCAACGCCGCGUGGAGGAUGAAGGUUUUCGGAUUGUAAACUCCUUUUGUUAGAGAAGAUAAUGACGGUAUCUAACGAAUAAGCACCGGCUAACUCCGUGCCAGCAGCCGCGGUAAUACGGAGGGUGCAAGCGUUACUCGGAAUCACUGGGCGUAAAGAGCGCGUAGGCGGGAUAGCAAGUCAGAUGUUAAAUCCUAGGGCUUAACCAUAGAACUGCAUUUGAAACUGUUAUUCUAGAGUAUGGGAGAGGUAGGUGGAAUGCUUGGUGUAGGGGUAAAAUCCGUAGAGAUCAAGAGGAAUACUCAUUGCGAAGGCGACCUGCUAGAACAUAACUGACGCUGAUGCGCGAAAGCGUGGGGAGCAAACAGGAUUAGAUACCCUUGUAGUC